AAUUUAUUUGUGAGUUUGAUCCUGGCUCAGGAUGAACGCUGGCGGCGUGACUAAGGCAUGCAAGUCGAGCGGGCCUCGCAAGAGGUCAGCGGCAAACGGGUGAGUAACACAUUGGUAACCUACCCUUAAGAUGGGGACAACUCGCCGAAAGGCGGGCUAAUACCCAAU
Molecule: ribosomal RNA, 168 nt
Filed under: Patescibacteria group bacterium
Lineage: Bacteria
Description: partial 16S ribosomal RNA
Rfam family: Bacterial small subunit ribosomal RNA
Source: RNAcentral